Molecule: ribosomal RNA, 806 nt
Filed under: uncultured Mycobacterium sp.
Lineage: Bacteria; Bacillati; Actinomycetota; Actinomycetes; Mycobacteriales; Mycobacteriaceae
Description: bacterial SSU rRNA
Rfam family: Bacterial small subunit ribosomal RNA
Source: RNAcentral
CGUAAAGAGCUCGUAGGUGGUUUGUCGCGUUGUUCGUGAAAUCUCACGGCUUAACUGUGAGCGUGCGGGCGAUACGGGCAGACUUGAGUACUGCAGGGGAGACUGGAAUUCCUGGUGUAGCGGUGGAAUGCGCAGAUAUCAGGAGGAACACCGGUGGCGAAGGCGGGUCUCUGGGCAGUAACUGACGCUGAGGAGCGAAAGCGUGGGGAGCGAACAGGAUUAGAUACCCUGGUAGUCCACGCCGUAAACGGUGGGUACUAGGUGUGGGUUUCCUUCCUUGGGAUCCGUGCCGUAGCUAACGCAUUAAGUACCCCGCCUGGGGAGUACGGCCGCAAGGCUAAAACUCAAAGAAAUUGACGGGGGCCCGCACAAGCGGCGGAGCAUGUGGAUUAAUUCGAUGCAACGCGAAGAACCUUACCUGGGUUUGACAUGCACAGGACGCCGGCAGAGAUGUCGGUUCCCUUGUGGCCUGUGUGCAGGUGGUGCAUGGCUGUCGUCAGCUCGUGUCGUGAGAUGUUGGGUUAAGUCCCGCAACGAGCGCAACCCUUGUCUCAUGUUGCCAGCGGGUAAUGCCGGGGACUCGUGAGAGACUGCCGGGGUCAACUCGGAGGAAGGUGGGGAUGACGUCAAGUCAUCAUGCCCCUUAUGUCCAGGGCUUCACACAUGCUACAAUGGCCGGUACAAAGGGCUGCGAUGCCGCGAGGUUAAGCGAAUCCUUUUAAAGCCGGUCUCAGUUCGGAUCGGGGUCUGCAACUCGACCCCGUGAAGUCGGAGUCGCUAGUAAUCGCAGAUCAGCAACGCUGCGG